AUGGCAUGGACAAGUUGGGACAAAAUGAUUCUCCCCAAAGCUAUGGGGGGCAUGGGCUUCAGGGAUAUGCGAGCGUUCAACCAAGCGCUGCUGGCCAAGCAAGCGUGGAGGCUCCUUGACUCUCCUGACAGCCUAGUUGCGAGACUAAUGAAGGCAAAAUAUUACCCUCAAGGUCAGUUAUUGGAUACAGUAUUUUCAAUCUCUGGAUCAGCUGUGUGGAAAGGCAUUUUGCACGGUUUGGAGCUGCUCAAGAAAGGUGUGAUAUGGCGGGUGGGGAACGGGGAGCAUAUUCGGACAUGGCGAGACCCUUGGAUCCCUCGGCCUUCUUCCUUCCGGCUGAUCACCCCAAAAGGCUCCUGCCGUCUCAAUCGUGUUUCUGCAUUUCUAGAUGCUAACGGGGCAUGGAGGGCUGAUCGCCUCCGUGAAUUUUUUUGGGAGAUGGAUGUCCAGCAUAUCCUCAAGAUCCGUACCUCUCCAAGACAGCGAUCUGAUUUCAUCUCAUGGUUUCUAGAGAAGAGUGACGUCUUCUCUGUCAGAAGUGCAUACAGAUUAGCUACAUACAAUCACAAUAUAACAUUUUCUGAAGGGGCAACAAGCGCGUCAGCGAGUGGGUCCCGGUCCUUAUGGAACUGCGUAUGA
This 639-nucleotide ribosomal RNA is filed under the name Triticum aestivum (bread wheat). RNAcentral describes it as "partial small subunit ribosomal RNA". The record is from RNAcentral. Lineage: Eukaryota; Viridiplantae; Streptophyta; Magnoliopsida; Poales; Poaceae.